CCAGAGUCCCGGGGCCAGAGUGGGAUGGGAGUGCGGGAUCGGAAGUUCCAUUUUUCAGAUGGGAAAAGCGAGGCUCAGAGAAAGUUUUCUCCCCAGGAAUCUGGAAAGAGGAAGGUGGUGAUGAUUGUGCCUGUAGCCAAGACCGGGAGAACCCUGGACCCCUACACCUUCCCCACCCCUGGAAUGUCACUAUACAUGUCUGACUUCCUUCUGAUGUUGCCUUUGACCCUAAAGUCAAUAUGAUAAAGUAACAAGAAGCUGGGACAGAGGAACAAACACAGCCCACUCAAGUAGUGGUGGCAACAUUCUGUUAGAAAGAAGGGGAGUCAAAGAAAAAAAACCCCUCCCCCCAUGUCCUUGAUCACCUCCCUAAAGACAGAGGAGAACAUGGAC
Molecule: long non-coding RNA, 393 nt
Organism: Symphalangus syndactylus (siamang)
Lineage: Eukaryota; Metazoa; Chordata; Mammalia; Primates; Hylobatidae
Source: RefSeq, a predicted model, not a curated record